AAGAAUUUCAGAACAGGCCAGAAGAGGGUCUGAAAAAAUUGGACGGUUGCAGUUGGAGGUGCAAAAACUGCAAUUUCUUUUGCUGAAACUUGAUGAUGCAAAUAAAAGCAGAGGAAAAACCAAAAUCAUAGAACGAAAAACAAGAGUUCUUCUGCGUGAUUAUCUGUAUGGUGGGACAAGAACUAGCCAGAAGAGAAAGAAAGGGCAUUUCUGUGCAUGUAUGCAA
RNAcentral lists this unclassified non-coding RNA (226 nucleotides) under Hevea brasiliensis (rubber tree). The record is from RNAcentral. Lineage: Eukaryota; Viridiplantae; Streptophyta; Magnoliopsida; Malpighiales; Euphorbiaceae.